RNAcentral lists this ribosomal RNA (548 nucleotides) under uncultured Glomus. RNAcentral's name for it is "SSU rRNA". It matches the Rfam family "Eukaryotic small subunit ribosomal RNA", at positions 548 to 1098 of the family's 1831-position model. Lineage: Eukaryota; Fungi; Glomeromycota; Glomeromycetes; Glomerales; Glomeraceae. The record is from RNAcentral.
UUGGAGGGCAAGUCUGGUGCCAGCAGCCGCGGUAAUUCCAGCUCCAAUAGCGUAUAUUAAAGUUGUUGCAGUUAAAAAGCUCGUAGUUGAAUUUCGGGAUCAGAUUGUCGGUCGUGCCUCGGUACGUACUGGCAUUAUUGGUUCCUACCUUCUAAGGAACCUUAAUGUCAUUAAUUUGAUGUUUUGGGGAGUUAGGACUGUUACCUUGAAAAAAUUAGAGUGUUUAAAGCAGGCUAACGCUUGAAUACAUUAGCAUGGAAUAAUGAAAUAGGACAUCCGAUUCUAUUUUGUUGGUUUCUAGGAUCGAUGUAAUGAUUAAUAGGGAUAGUUGGGGGCAUUAGUAUUCAAUUGUCAGAGGUGAAAUUCUUGGAUUUAUUGAAGACUAACUACUGCGAAAGCAUUUGCCAAGGAUGUUUUCAUUAAUCAAGAACGAAAGUUAGGGGAUCGAAGACGAUCAGAUACCGUCGUAGUCUUAACCAUAAACUAUGCCGACUAGGGAUCGGAUGAUGUUAAUUUUUUAAUGACUCAUUCGGCGCCUUACGGGAAAC